CUACGGUCGCUCCAGUGAGGAAUUUUGCGCAAUGGGGGAAACCCUGACGCAGCAACGCCGCGUGAGCGAAGAAGGCCUUCGGGUCGUAAAGCUCUGUCAAGUGGGAAAAAAAUUCUUUGAUGAACAGUCAAAGGACUUGAUGGUACCACUGGAGGAAGCACCGGCUAACUCCGUGCGCAGCAGCCGCGGUAAUACGGAGGGUGCAAGCGUUGUUCGGAAUUACUGGGCGUAAAGAGCGUGUAGGCGGUUUGACAAGUCAGAUGUGAAAGCCCCGGGCUCAACCCGGGAAGUGCAUUUGAAACUGUUUCACUCGAGAAUGGGAGAGGAGAGUGGAAUUCCUGGUGUAGAGGUGAAAUUCGUAGAUAUCAGGAGGAACACCCGUGGCGAAGGCGAUUCUCUGGACCAAUACUGACGCUGAGACGCGAAAGCGUGGGGAGCAAACAGGAUUAGAUACCCGAGUAGUC
RNAcentral lists this ribosomal RNA (464 nucleotides) under uncultured bacterium. RNAcentral describes it as "partial 16S ribosomal RNA". It matches the Rfam family "Bacterial small subunit ribosomal RNA", at positions 339 to 795 of the family's 1533-position model. The record is from RNAcentral.